Molecule: ribosomal RNA, 595 nt
Filed under: uncultured fungus
Lineage: Eukaryota; Fungi
Description: eukaryotic LSU rRNA
Rfam family: 5.8S ribosomal RNA (bases 251-404)
Source: RNAcentral
CAUUAUCGUAUAAACUUGAACAGGCUGUUGCUGGCCCUCCGGGGUGUGUGCACGCUUGUCUCAUCUUUAUUUCUCCAACUGUGCACAUUUUGUAGGUCCUGGAUGCGUCUAUGAACUCGCGUUCGAGUCGGGACUGCUGUUGCUUUUCUUUGGAGAGGCCGGCUUUUCCUUUUGCUUUUCAGGUCUAUGUUGUUUAUAUCACAAACCGUGUUUAGAAUGUAAUGUUGGUAUAAAAAAAAAUGAAAUAUACAACUUUCAGCAACGGAUCUCUUGGCUCUCGCAUCGAUGAAGAACGCAGCGAAAUGCGAUAAGUAAUGUGAAUUGCAGAAUUCAGUGAAUCAUCAAAUCUUUGAACGCAUCUUGCGCUCCUUGGUAUUCCGAGGAGCAUGCCUGUUUGAGUGUCAUUUUAACUUAUCAACCACUUUCAUGUCUGAACAGUGGCUUGGAUGUGGAGGUCUUUGCAGGCUUUCUUUGUAAGGUCGGCUCCUCUGAAACAUAUUAGUGGCAUCUGAGCUGCUACUGUAGGUGUGAUAACUAUCUAUGCCUUCUGGUAUGCUGCAUUGAACAGAUUGCGCUGCUUAGAACCAAACCAAAA